UUCGUAGGCGGUGCGGCAAGUCGGAAGUGAAAUCUCCAGGCUCAACUUGGAGGCUGCUCCCGAAACUGCCGCGCUAGAGUGCGGGAGAGGCCAGUGGAAUUGCAGGUGUAGCGGUGAAAUGCGUAGAUAUCUGCAGGAACACCCGUGGCGAAGGCGGCUGGCUGGACCGCAACUGACGCUGAGGAACGAAAGCUAGGGGAGCAAACAGGAUUAGAUACCCUGGUAGUCCUAGCCCUAAACGAUCAGGACUUGGGGUGCAUCCCGACGGGGUGCGUCCCGUAGCUAACGCGUUAAGUCCUGCGCCUGGGGAGUACGGUCGCAAGACUGAA
Molecule: ribosomal RNA, 329 nt
Filed under: uncultured bacterium
Lineage: Bacteria
Description: bacterial SSU rRNA
Rfam family: Bacterial small subunit ribosomal RNA
Source: RNAcentral